CAAGCGUUGUCCGGAUUUAUUGGGCGUAAAGAGCGUGUAGGCGGCUUUUUAGGUCAGCUGUGAAAACUCGAGGCUCAACCUCGAGACGUCGGUUGAAACCACCUGGCUAGAGUCCGGAAGAGGAGAGUGGAAUUCCCGGCGUAGCGGUGAAAUGCGCAGAUAUCAGGAAGAACACCCGUGGCGAAGGCGGUUCUCUGGGACGGUACUGACGCUGAGACGCGAAAGCGUGGGGAGCGAACAGG
This 242-nucleotide ribosomal RNA is filed under the name uncultured bacterium. RNAcentral's name for it is "partial 16S ribosomal RNA". It matches the Rfam family "Bacterial small subunit ribosomal RNA", at positions 535 to 776 of the family's 1533-position model. The record is from RNAcentral.